GCAGAACGCGAAGAACCUUACCUGGGCUUGACAUGCAUCUCUAAGUCGGUGAAAGCCGGCGAGUGCCGCAAGGUACAAUUUGCACAGGUGCUGCAUGGCUGUCGUCAGCCCGUGUCGUGAGAUGUUGGGUUAAGUCCCGCAACGAGCGCAACCCUGUGAUCUGUUGCUAACCGGCUUGUCCGGAGCACUCUGGUCAGACUGCCCUGUGAAACGGGGAGGAAGGUGGGGAUGACGUCAAGUCAGCAUGGCCCUUACGCCCAGAGCUGCACACGUACUACAAUGCUCAGUACAGAACGAACCGAAACCGCGAGGUGGAGGAAAUCCCUAAAACUGAGCCCAAUUCGGAUCGCAGGCUGCAACUCGCCUGCGUGAAGCCGGAAUCGCUAGUAAUGGCGCAUCAGCUACGGCGCCGUGAAUACGUUCCCGGGUC
RNAcentral lists this ribosomal RNA (430 nucleotides) under uncultured bacterium. Its description in RNAcentral is "bacterial SSU rRNA". It matches the Rfam family "Bacterial small subunit ribosomal RNA", at positions 954 to 1380 of the family's 1533-position model. The record is from RNAcentral.